GGCCAUAGCUCAGCCGGGAGAGCGCCUGCUUUGCAAGCAGGAGGUCGGCGGUUCGAUCCCGCCUGGCUCCACCAGG
Molecule: transfer RNA, 76 nt
Filed under: uncultured Thiotrichales bacterium
Lineage: Bacteria; Pseudomonadati; Pseudomonadota; Gammaproteobacteria; Thiotrichales
Description: tRNA-Ala
Rfam family: tRNA
About the family: Transfer RNA (tRNA) molecules are approximately 80 nucleotides in length. Their secondary structure includes four short double-helical elements and three loops (D, anti-codon, and T loops).
Source: RNAcentral